This 215-nucleotide ribosomal RNA is filed under the name uncultured archaeon. RNAcentral's name for it is "partial 16S ribosomal RNA". It matches the Rfam family "Archaeal small subunit ribosomal RNA", at positions 1 to 205 of the family's 1478-position model. The record is from RNAcentral.
UUCUGGUUGAUCCUGCCGGACCCACUGGCUAUCGGGGUGGGACUAAGCCAUGCGAGUCCAUGUCUUCAAGCCAACGGAGAAGACACGGCGUACGGCUCAGUAACACGUAGCCAACCUACCCUCAGGACGGGAAUAACCCCGGGAAACUGGGGCUAACACCAGAUAUGUGAGAAGGCCUGGAAUGGUUUCUCGCCCAAAGGACGUCGGAACCCAUG